Petromyzon marinus (sea lamprey) is the source of this 1166-nucleotide non-coding RNA. The record is from RefSeq and is a predicted model, not a curated record. NCBI's taxonomy places the organism in Eukaryota, Metazoa, Chordata, Hyperoartia, Petromyzontiformes, Petromyzontidae.
GUAUUCACGUACUAUUUUAAUAAACACAUUUGUAUCGAAGUGACCUCAGUGCAGUUUUAAAAUAAACGUGUCCGUGCAUAGUUCUCUUAGCAGCGAGUUCCAGAAUUAAUAUUGUCGAGUCUUAAGGGACUUGCACAAUGACAAACGCUGGCCAUUGUAAGGAUGGCUCCGUGCAGCAUCAGGACAACUUUUGAAUGUAUUUUACAUGAUAGCAGUCUUCACGCAGUCAGAUAAGGACUGUUGUACACUAUUCAUACAUUGUCACAGUGAACGCCGUAUGGAUUUGCUUUACCAAGCGUUAUGCAUUUGUGAAUACUGUGCGGUUAUGUGUGACAGGAGUGAAGCAGUGUACAGUGGUUUGCGCAUCGCACUCUGAAUCUGGUCUGUUCCAAUUACCAUACAAUGAUCAGUAGCGAAUUAUAUAUAAACUGGUUCUGGGUCCUUCUUUAAAACCGCAGACCAACUUGGUGACAUACAUUAUGCCUCGAUUUAAAGCUUUCGUGACUGCAGGGAUUUAUAUUCUACGUGACUUUACCGAAAGAACCAAGAAUAUACAUUAUGCCGUUAUGGCACGAGGUCGUCUUUAGCAGUAGAUUGACAAAAUGGCUGUCAAUCGGGCAGAGGUGUAGGCAGAAAUAGCCCACUCCGGCAUUGACCUGGGGUGGGCAACCUGCGGCUCUUUAAGGAUUGCUUCGUGACGUAAUUCACAUUGCAUUGCGGCUCUUGAAUUUUUCUUUGUAUACCGAAUUCGAAAAAACGACUUGUUAUUUUGGUUUCCACCCCCUGGUAUUGACAGAUAAUUCUGUGCUGUAUACUCGUGUGUGUGAUUGUGUGCUAACAAUGGCCCGUGUGAUUCAGGGGAAAGUACAACAUCAGAUUUCUUUUGAUCCAGGUACUGGCUAAUUUCAUUCCCAGACCCUUCACCGUCAUACACAGGAACCACACCAAGCAGGAGAUGCUGCACUACAUCGUGCUCUACAUAGAGCACCUGCAGAAGCACCUAGACCGCCUCCGCAGUGCUGCCGAGACGCAUGAAGCCAGCAAGACAUGCAGAACCCAGGGAGAGCUCGGGGUUCUGACCCCUGCAGACCCAUGUAGCGAGGAUGGAGGGUACAGCACGUUGCACACGGAGGAGCCCCUGCUGGAAUCGCCAAGUGAGACGUCCA